GACGAACGCUGGCGGCGUGCCUAAUACAUGCAAGUCGAGCGAAGUUUUUCUGGUGCUUGCACUAGAAAAACUUAGCGGCGAACGGGUGAGUAACACGUAAAGAACCUGCCUCAUAGACUGGGACAACUAUUGGAAACGAUAGCUAAUACCGGAUAACAGUAUUUCUCGCAUGAGAGAUAUUUAAAAGUUGGUUAUGCUAACACUAUGAGAUGGCUUUGCGGUGCAUUAGCUAGUUGGUGGGGUAAAGGCCCACCAAGGCGACGAUGCAUAGCCGACCUGAGAGGGUGAUCGGCCACACUGGGACUGAGACACGGCCCAGACUCCUACGGGAGGCAGCAGUAGGGAAUCUUCCGCAAUGGGCGAAAGCCUGACGGAGCAACGCCGCGUGAGUGAAGAAGGAUUUCGGUUCGUAAAGCUCUGUUGUUAGGGAAGAAUGGAUAUGUAGUAACUAUACAUAUAAGAGACGGUACCUAACCAGAAAGCCACGGCUAACUACGUGCCAGCAGCCGCGGUAAUACGUAGGUGGCAAGCGUUGUCCGGAAUUAUUGGGCGUAAAGCGCGCGCAGGUGGUUUAAUAAGUCUGAUGUGAAAGCCCACGGCUCACCGUGGAGGGUCAUUGGAAACUGUUAAGCUUGAGUGCAAGAGAGAAAAGUGGAAUUCCUAGUGUAGCGGUGAAAUGCGUAGAGAUUAGGAGGAACACCAGUGGCGAAGGCGGCUUUUUGGCCUGUAACUGACACUGAGGCGCGAAAGCGUGGGGAGCAAACAGG
RNAcentral lists this ribosomal RNA (767 nucleotides) under uncultured bacterium. RNAcentral's name for it is "bacterial SSU rRNA". It matches the Rfam family "Bacterial small subunit ribosomal RNA", at positions 28 to 776 of the family's 1533-position model. The record is from RNAcentral.